This 429-nucleotide ribosomal RNA is filed under the name Chloroflexota bacterium. RNAcentral describes it as "Chloroflexi bacterium partial 16S ribosomal RNA". It matches the Rfam family "Bacterial small subunit ribosomal RNA", at positions 355 to 776 of the family's 1533-position model. The record is from RNAcentral. Lineage: Bacteria; Bacillati; Chloroflexota.
UGGGGAAUAUUGCACAAUGGGCGCAAGCCUGAUGCAGCCAUGCCGCGUGUAUGAAGAAGGCCUUCGGGUUGUAAAGUACUUUCAGCGGGGAGGAAGGGAGUAAAGUUAAUACCUUUGCUCAUUGACGUUACCCGCAGAAGAAGCACCGGCUAACUCCGUGCCAGCAGCCGCGGUAAUACGGAGGGUGCAAGCGUUAAUCGGAAUUACUGGGCGUAAAGCGCACGCAGGCGGUUUGUUAAGUCAGAUGUGAAAUCCCCGGGCUCAACCUGGGAACUGCAUCUGAUACUGGCAAGCUUGAUUCUCGUAGAGGGGGGUAGAAUUCCAGGUGUAGCGGUGAAAUGCGUAGAGAUCUGGAGGAAUACCGGUGGCGAAGGCGGCCCCCUGGACGAAGACUGACGCUCAGGUGCGAAAGCGUGGGGAGCAAACAGG